CUCUUUCACAGAUGAGCCCUGUAUACACAUCAAUCAAAUAUUGGUGGACACAUAGAGAUAGAACAACUGUUCUGUUAUCUACGGAUGGCCAUUAGUGGCCAUUACCACUGAUGAUGACGAAGAUGAUGAAGUAGACCUAUUGUGCUGUUUCAGAGCUUGCAUAUGCGUCUGCUGGUUAGUUUUCAAGAGUUGUUUACACUGUAAUCAGACCUGCAGCAGAGUUGUACAAGUAGUGGGACCCAACUCACUGGAUGAGAGUCUACUGUACAGCAUCUCCACCCAGACUUUAACAACAAAGACAAAGGGAAGGCCAGCUUCUUAUUCAUCAACACAUUCAGAUAGACGUUCAUUAUUGGGAAAGAAACCAGAGAGGGAGAGAGAGAGAGAGAGGAUAGUUCCACCUGCUUGGCCUAUCAUUUUAAAGCCCUGUGCUGGGCUCCAGAGGGGCGCGCCACCGGGGUGGAGCCGCUGCUGA
This 475-nucleotide long non-coding RNA is filed under the name Oncorhynchus kisutch (coho salmon). RNAcentral describes it as "lncRNA (ENSOKIG00005005282.1)". Lineage: Eukaryota; Metazoa; Chordata; Actinopteri; Salmoniformes; Salmonidae. The record is from RNAcentral.